AAACAGCCCCCUAUGUUUUGAUUCUUUGGCAGUUUUGGCCCCCAAGGUAAAAUAAAGAUAAAAAAAUUGACACGUGGCACCUCACUUAGGGUGCCACGUCAGCGUUGACCGAGUCAACACUGGACUGGGGGUUCAAAACUGUCAAAGAAUCAAAACAUAGGGGGUUGUUU
Molecule: microRNA precursor, 170 nt
Filed under: Medicago truncatula (barrel medic)
Lineage: Eukaryota; Viridiplantae; Streptophyta; Magnoliopsida; Fabales; Fabaceae
Description: MIR2619 microRNA precursor family
Rfam family: MIR2619 microRNA precursor family
Source: Rfam by way of RNAcentral